AGUUCCAUAGUUUAACGGUUAAAACCCGGGAUUCCAAAUCCUGUACUCUAGGUUCGAUUCCUAGUGGAGCUGCCA
This 75-nucleotide transfer RNA is filed under the name Candidatus Altimarinota bacterium. RNAcentral's name for it is "tRNA-Trp". It matches the Rfam family "tRNA". Rfam says of the family: Transfer RNA (tRNA) molecules are approximately 80 nucleotides in length. The record is from RNAcentral. Lineage: Bacteria; Candidatus Altimarinota.